CGGGUGAGUAACGCGUGGGUAACCUGCCUUGUACUGGGGGACAACAGUUAGAAAUGACUGCUAAUACCGCAUAAGCGCACAGUAUCGCAUGAUACAGUGUGAAAAACUCCGGUGGUACAAGAUGGACCCGCGUCUGAUUAGGUAGUUGGUGAGGUAACGGCCCACCAAGCCGACGAUCAGUAGCCGACCUGAGAGGGUGACCGGCCACAUUGGGACUGAGACACGGCCCAG
This 231-nucleotide ribosomal RNA is filed under the name uncultured bacterium. Its description in RNAcentral is "partial 16S ribosomal RNA". It matches the Rfam family "Bacterial small subunit ribosomal RNA", at positions 103 to 334 of the family's 1533-position model. The record is from RNAcentral.